CUUCCAAAGGAAGAGUCCGAUCCUCGGAUGGACUGCUAUUCUCCAGAUCUAGGCAGCCUCAAGUCUCUUCUCUAAGAUAGGUCAGUACAUCUCAACAAGAUCCCUAGUAGAGACUCUAGGACAACAGGAUCGGCCCCACACUCUCAUGUCCUGACUCCGAUGGAUAGGGAUCGAGAUAGAGAAGAUUCUAUCCGCAAGUUG
This 201-nucleotide long non-coding RNA is filed under the name Elaeis guineensis (African oil palm). RNAcentral describes it as "long non-coding RNA (EGUI_LNC007128)". Lineage: Eukaryota; Viridiplantae; Streptophyta; Magnoliopsida; Arecales; Arecaceae. The record is from RNAcentral.